AAAGAUCAACACAUUUUUAUUUUUUCAAUAUUUUUGUUUUAUUUUUUGAUUUUUUUUAUUCAAGAUGACCAUGAUGUUGAAGACCUGACGGCCUUAAUGAUUAAAAUGAGCGUGCUCGAAAAAAAAAUUGACAAAAACAAUGAGGCGACGACAAGAAAAUUGGAUGCCCUAAACACAAAAAUGGCUUCACUCCAAAGAAUAAUGGGCACAAUGUCCGAUGCCAUUGAUGCCAUCAGACAAUCAUCCAUCAAUGAAGUAAGAGAAGAGACAGCUAUACAUUUCCCAAUCAAAAAUGACGAGGAAUUGAAAAAUUUGGAAGUCUUACUAGUAGAAGAACAAUUUGAAAAAGCGUUUCGCUCGAAAUUAAAAAAAGAAAAAACAAAAGAUGCUUAUCAUUUUAUGCGAAACGCUGUUGGACAAAUUUUUUACAAAACUACAAGACAUACUUGGAGCGGACGCGUGGGCCACAAUAGUGGCCACGAGGAGGAUGCUUGCAAGGCCUCUAAUCUGAACGUUGUGCGCAUUUUGCUUGAUGUUGCAAUGGAAAUUUUCCCUAUCACCCGAGACACCGCGAUCCAGGAAUUUAAAAAGGCACUUCAGAACAAAAAUGCCGCGGUUCAUAUGAACAAGGUUCGCGAUGCCAAAUUUGUCCAUGAAUAAAUAACGAGGGAAAACUACUGAACAAAUCAGUUAUGUGUAAAUGAGAUUAAAAGAGAAAUAUUUGUUGAGGACCAUCCAUAAACCACGUUGAUUUAUUUGUUAAUUUUUUAAACUUUCUAUGGACAAUGGCCGUAUUCCACUUAUUUCAGGCGGAAUAAAUUAAAUAGGAUUUGUUUCUGACAUGUCGAACUUGAACUCUAAUUUUCUAAAAUUCAUUUUUUUUAUUAUUUUCGGUGUUUUCACAUGUUGGGGUUUAUGAAAUGUCAAACGCAAAAGUGAUCCAUAAUUGUUAAGAGACAAUAAAAUAAUUUCAUAAGCGAUGGACAAAACGA
This 992-nucleotide long non-coding RNA is filed under the name Aedes aegypti (yellow fever mosquito). RNAcentral describes it as "lncRNA AAEL027198". Lineage: Eukaryota; Metazoa; Arthropoda; Insecta; Diptera; Culicidae. The record is from RNAcentral.